RNAcentral lists this ribosomal RNA (484 nucleotides) under uncultured bacterium. Its description in RNAcentral is "partial 16S ribosomal RNA". It matches the Rfam family "Bacterial small subunit ribosomal RNA", at positions 30 to 507 of the family's 1533-position model. The record is from RNAcentral.
AUUGAACGCUGGCGGAAUGCUUUACACAUGCCAGUCGAGCGGCAGCGCAGCCUUCGGGCUGGCGGCGAGCGGCGAACGGGUGAGUAAUGCAUCGGAACAUGCCCAGUCGUGGGGGAUAACACUUCGAAAGAAGUGCUAAUACCGCAUACGUCCUGAGGGGGAAAGCGGGGGAUCGCAAGACCUCGCGCGAUUGGAGUGGCCGAUGUCAGAUUAGCUAGUUGGUGGGGUAAAGGCCUACCAAGGCGACGAUCUGUAGCUGGUCUGAGAGGAUGAUCAGCCACACUGGGACUGAGACACGGCCCAGACUCCUACGGGAGGCAGCAGUGGGGAAUUUUGGACAAUGGGGGCAACCCUGAUCCAGCCAUUCCGCGUGAGUGAAGAAGGCCUUCGGGUUGUAAAGCUCUUUCGGCAGGAACGAAACGGUGGGCUCUAACAUAGUCCGCUAAUGACGGUACCUGAAGAAGAAGCACCGGCUAACUACGUG